This 1020-nucleotide ribosomal RNA is filed under the name Brenneria nigrifluens. RNAcentral's name for it is "bacterial SSU rRNA". It matches the Rfam family "Bacterial small subunit ribosomal RNA", at positions 38 to 1050 of the family's 1533-position model. Lineage: Bacteria; Pseudomonadati; Pseudomonadota; Gammaproteobacteria; Enterobacterales; Pectobacteriaceae. The record is from RNAcentral.
AUCGGCAGCUACACAUGCAGUCGAGCGGUAGCACAGAGGAGCUUGCUCCUUGGGUGACGAGCGGCGGACGGGUGAGUAAUGUCUGGGAAACUGCCUGAUGGAGGGGGAUAACUACUGGAAACGGUAGCUAAUACCGCAUAACCUCGCAAGAGCAAAGUGGGGGACCUUAUGGCCUCACGCCAUCGGAUGUGCCCAGAUGGGAUUAGCUGGUAGGUGGGGUAAAGGCUCACCUAGGCGACGAUCCCUAGCUGGUCUGAGAGGAUGACCAGCCACACUGGAACUGAGACACGGUCCAGACUCCUACGGGAGGCAGCAGUGGGGAAUAUUGCACAAUGGGGGAAACCCUGAUGCAGCCAUGCCGCGUGUGUGAAGAAGGCCUUCGGGUUGUAAAGCACUUUCAGCGGGGAGGAAGGCAACAAGCUUAAUAAUCUUGUUGAUUGACGUUACCCGCAGAAGAAGCACCGGCUAACUCCGUGCCAGCAGCCGCGGUAAUACGGAGGGUGCAAGCGUUAAUCGGAAUGACUGGGCGUAAAGCGCACGCAGGCGGUCUGUUAAGUUGGAUGUGAAAUCCCCGGGCUUAACCUGGGAACUGCAUUCAAAACUGACAGGCUAGAGUCUCGUAGAGGGGGGUAGAAUUCCAGGUGUAGCGGUGAAAUGCGUAGAGAUCUGGAGGAAUACCGGUGGCGAAGGCGGCCCCCUGGACGAAGACUGACGCUCAGGUGCGAAAGCGUGGGGAGCAAACAGGAUUAGAUACCCUGGUAGUCCACGCCGUAAACGAUGUCGACUUGGAGGCUGUGGUCUUGAACCGUGGCUUCCGGAGCUAACGCGUUAAGUCGACCGCCUGGGGGAGUACGGCCGCAAGGUUAAAACUCAAAUGAAUUGACGGGGGGCCCGCACAAGCGGUGGAGCAUGUGGUUUAAUUCGAUGCAACGCGAGAACCUUACCUACUCUUGACAUCCUCAGAAGAGACUGGAGACAGUCUUGUGCCUUCGGGAACUGAGAGACAGGUGCUGCAUGGCU